Molecule: long non-coding RNA, 5383 nt
Filed under: Homo sapiens (human)
Lineage: Eukaryota; Metazoa; Chordata; Mammalia; Primates; Hominidae
Description: HSALNT0173276
Source: RNAcentral
AGAAGCUGAAACUGAGGUUCAAUGAGGUAAAUUGAUUCAUCCAAGCUCACAGGCUUGUAAGCAGCAAAGGUAGAAUUUAAAUCCAAGUCACUUUGACUCCAAAGCCAAUGGAAUGUUUCUUCCACUACUCUUUAUCACCUGAGUAAAGCUAUAAGCUUAUGCUUUGAACAUGUAAUGCAUUCGGGUUUAAAAGAAAAAAGAGCAAACGUUAUUGAAACCCAAACCAGAAUGAUUUCACAAGAAUGUGGGCUGUAACUACCUAGGACUCCCUGGCUCCUGUCACAACAUGUUGAAGGCAAAAUUAGGUAAUGUCCUCCCUCCCUCAGUGAAAAGGAAAACCUGCCAAGACAUGGUGGCUGCUCUCCCUGGAGUGCCGGACACAGGACAUGCUCCACUGUUGGACCUGAGGCAAAUUUUUGUGGAAUAUCAAUAAUUUUGGAUGAUAACAGAGAAAAAUGACACCGAACCACGUGCACUUGCCAGAGAUGGACUCCAACUGGAGGCCAGAAAGCAGAAGAGCCUGGAAAUGCCAUCUAUGAAGGUCGGCCUCUGAGCAGCCCAGAGAAAAGCAGAAAUGAGACUGGGGCAGCCAAGAGUGAAUAACCAGCACGGUAGCUGACGCAGUGCGGUACACAAAGGGCGCGCUUCCAGUAAGACCUCAAGGCCCAUGUGCUGCUUUGAAUUCAACUGAACCGAAUGGAGAAACUGGUUGCAAGUAAAGGGUGUUAUGUGGUAAAGGCAACUGGACCCUGGACCGCUAGGGUUUCACUUCCAGCUUAUCUAGACAAGUGAAUCAUCAGAUUUCACAGCCCUCUUGGGGCUUGAAUCACACAUGUGCGGGAGGAGCUGCAUUGCUGGUGCAUGUGAAGUGUUUCAAGCUGUAAUUAUAUCCUUCACCUCCUCAGAGUGUCUAGACUAGAUUACGAAGGCUGGGGAAAAAAAAAAAUGACUGCAGCUUUCUGUGGUCCUCAAACAAGUGGGAAUUCCUGGCUGGGGCCCUUUUCCCAGAGUACACAGGAGCAAAUCCCCAGAAGCAGCAGCAGCAGCAGCAGCAGCAGCAGUAGCCUUGGCUUGAAGGAUGAAGAUUAAAAGGGAAAAGAGGUACCACUGCCUUUAAAAGUCUCCAUAGGAAAGAGACUCCAGUCAAGCACUAGCGGUAGAAAUAUGAAGCAACCCUGCUGUUCCUCUGCAGGAAAAGUUUUUAAAUAACUUCUUAUUAGUAAUAUUAAUAUUAAUGAUAAUACUGAAUCUUCAUAGCACAUUUAUUAUAUACUGAACACUAUGGUAGCAUUUUACGUACUUUGCUUCAUUUAAUUUCCACAAUCGCCCUGAGAAGUAACAUUAACCCUAUUUUUAAAAACAGAAAAAUGAUGCUUAGAAAGGCAAACAGAAUAUGGUCUUAGCUGCAGUUGAUUGAACAUUUAUUAUGUGCUUGCCAUAGGGCUGGGUAUCCCAGCAGUUCUCAAAGUGCAGUUCGUGGACCUCUCUGAGUUCCCAGCACCCUUACAGGAGAUCUACAAGGUCAAAACAAUAUUCAUAAAAACAAUAAAACAGCGUUUGCCUUUUCCACUGUAUUUACAUUUGCACUGCUGAUGGGAAAACUGCCAGCACCAUAGCACAAAUCAAGGCAGUGCACCAAACUGCACUAGUAGUCAUUGAAUUCUUCAAGGCCACCCACUUGUGGUAGAAAAAUGUGGCCAUUCAUAUAAGCAUGACUUUGAUGAAGCAGAAUCAUUUUUAAUUUUAUUAAAUUUUAACCCUUGAGCACAUGAACAUCUUUUUAAGAUUCUGCACGAGGAAACAGGAAGAACUCAUAAGGCAUGUCUAAGUACCAUGGUUGUCUCAAAGAAAAGGCACCUGCACAGUUGUUGAGUUGCAAUCUGAACUAAGCUCGGUAUUCAUAGAUCACCAUUUCUACUUGAAAGAACAAAAGAGAAAUUAUGGGUGUUCAGACUCUGGUAGUUGGCAGACAUGUUCUCAAAACUUAACUAAGUGAGCCUCUUACUUCAAAGAAAACAGCUUAGCCGGGCACAGUGGCUCACGCUUGUAAUCCCAGCACUUUUGGAGGCCUAGGUGGGUAGAUCAUGAGGUCAGGAGCUCAAGACCAGCCUGGCCAACAUGCUGAAACCCCGUCUCUACUAAAAAUACAAAAAUUAAUCUGGUGUGGUGGUGCAUGCCUGUAGUCCCAGCUACUCGGGAGGCAGAGGCAGGAGAAUCACUUGAACCUGGGAGGCGGAGGUUGCAGUGAGCCGAGAUUGUGCCAUUGCAGUCCAGCCUGGGUGACAGAGCAAAACUCUGUCGAAAGAAAGAAAGAAGAAAGAGAGGAAGGAAGGAAGGGAGGGAGGGAGGAAGGAAGGAAGGAAGGGAGGGAGGGAGGGAUGAAGGAAGGAAGGAAGGAAGGAAGGAAGGGAGAGAGGAAGGAAGGAAGGAAACAGCAGACCAUGUUUGUUGCCAAUGGUAACAUUUGAACUUCCAUGUGAAGAUUAGAAUUUUGGAAAAUAUAUAUGUUACUGUUAACUCAUCAGCUUCCCAAUAUAUUAAGACUUUUCUGUUCAGAUCUGUGCUGGCAUUAAAGAAUGUGAUCCUUUGAUAGUGUAUAAGGCAAUGUGUCAACAUUUGGAAGAUUUGUAUAAUUCAGUGAACCAAUAUUUUUUAAAUGUCCACAGUAUCAUACUGCAAAAUCAUGCACAGGUAAACGUUCAUUCAAAGCAUAAAAUGGCCAGUGGAUUUUAAGGUAACAUAGCAUGAAAAUUUCAUUUGCAUAGUUUCAGGUUCCAUAUUAUAACUACCUUUUAAGAAACUGGCAGUCAAGUUUUGAUGUAGUAUCAAAAAAAUGCUUUUUUUUUUUUUUUGAGACAGAGUCUCACUCUGUCACCCAGGUUGGAGUGCAGUGGUGCGAUCUCGGCUCACUGCAAGCUCUGCCUCCCAGGUUCACGCCUUUCUCCUGCCUCAGCCUCCCAAGUAACUGGGACUACAGGCACCCGCCACCAUGCCCAGCUAAUUUUUUCUGUUUUUUAGCAGAGGCAGGGUUUCACCGUGUUAGACAGGAUGGUCUGGAUCUCCUGACCUCAUGAUCCGCUUGCCUCGGCCUCCCAAAGUGCUGGGAUUACAGGCGUGAGCCACCACGCCCGGCCCAAAAAAAGACUAUUAAAUCACACCUCUUUUUUCCAAAUGCAUAUCGGCAUGAAGCUAAAUUUUUUCCUAUACUGCAACCAAAACAAUCUAUGGCAAAACAUUGAAUGCCAAAGAGAUUAUGAGAAUCUAUCUUCUCUUAAGUCACACAUUAAAGAGAUUUAUAAAAGUGUUGCUGUUCUCACUACAGUUUUGGGGUGAAAAAUAUAGUUAUUUAUCAUUAAAAAGUUAAUUAUGUAACAUGCAGUCAGCUCACUAGUAAAUAAAUGAUUUUAAAAUUUCUCAGUUAUAAUUUCUACUGCAAUAAAUGUUGAUAGAUAUAACCCACAUUUAAAAAUUUUUUUAAAUUAAUCUUUGAAGUCCACAAUAAUCUUUAAAUCUUUGGAAUCCUCAGUAAUUUUAAAAGGGUCCUGAAGCCAAAAUCUUUGAGAAGCACUGUUUCAUCAAUAUGUCAUCAAUGCAAUGUGAUCCCAGAGCUAAGAGCUUUUCAGGGGCUUAGAAAAUAUAUAAGCCUCAGGUAGAAAAAUAGUUGUUGGCUCCAAAACUACAAAAGAAACCAAUAAAAAAUUAAAAUGAAUAAAUGUUUAAUUAAAUGUCUACAAAAAUGCACCAACAUGCCAACUUCAUUAACUGUUAAAAUUUAAUAUUCAUAAAGAUUUCAUUACAUCUAAUACGAUUUAUAGAUUCAAUUUUCUCACUUCACACAUUCCCCUAAGUAUACACAGUGAUUGUUGGGAACUCAUAGCCAAUCAUAAAUUAAAUGAAAGUUACAUAGAGCCAAAUAAUUUCUAAAGCACAAAUAUAAAGGCCCUUACAAAAAGAAUUUAAAGCCAAAAAGUAUAUUUAAUGUGGGAUAUGGGUGCCAUUAGUAUGUUUGAUAUGUUGUAUGGUAAGGCCUCCAAAAGUCAGAAUAUGUAGGGCUCAUGAAGGCCCUGUUUUAAACACAGCAUCUUAUUUCCUUUAAAUUACACCCCUCCUGAGAAAGAUUCUGGUGAAAGCAGAUAUCUUCACUAGGCUAAGGAGAUAUCUUCACCAGGCAAAACAUUUCACCCUGACCUUUGGCAGGCCUGGGGAAGAGAAACACAUAAGGUAAAUACCAUAAACCCAUCAGAAGAGUAAUAAAAUCAUGAAGGAAAGAAAGGCCAGAUGCUGUUCUUUGGGACCCAACAAUGGCACAGCCAGCCAGGUUUCUGUCCCACAGGCAGAAGGGGUUACCACAGCCUCUCACACCCAGACUGUCAUCUUGAGCAAAGCAGGACUGAUAGCUUAGCAGAGCCCCAGACAUCUCACUAGGGAAACAGAAUGUUUGACAGAAAAGUCUGGGAGUACUUUCUAAAGACUAGCCAGCUUAAAGCAAAAAGUCCCCCAGUGAUCCUCCCCACCUCUCUUCUGGGUCCCUUGCCCUUGCUGGUACCUCAGGACUAGGCGCCCUUGCUGACCAGCAGUGCCCAGGAUCACCAAGACCUCUCUCAACUUCAUUCCCUUGCAAAGUGUUUUCUCACCUUCCCCUCAUUCUCUCAGCCCCACUGACCAGAGUGAAGCAGUGUUGUCGCCAUCCAACUUUGAGGUGUCAAGACUCUGAGAUAAUGUGGUUGCCUUUUAGAAGGGCUCCAAGAAUGGGAUAUCCCACAGUAUUGCAGUUUGCUUAUUUUCUUUCUCAUCUGAUUUUUCUGUAGUUUCUGCUAUAAAUGCAUUUGCUUUCUUUUAAACAUUUUUUAAAAGAUCAGUAAAGUAACCGGCUCAUUAUAGGUCUUUGAUAAAUAGUAAUCACUAUUAUUUGGCAAUUCAUCACACAGUGCCCUAACUUCUCCUGCAUGGAAAUCAGGAGAUCUUCCCUGUUGAGAGUGAAUGGAUUCACUUUCAUUUCCUGCAGCUGCCUAGUUUAGUAAAAAAUAAAAAUAAAAAUAGAAAAAUGGAAAAACAGAGUUAGAAAAUGUGCAAUGUAUUUGAAAUGUUUCAUUUAACAAGUCAAUGCUUUAAUUACGCAUAUACAUGCAAAACCAAAAUACAAUCGAAUUGUGCAAUUGACAAUAUAAUUUCAAGAUUUAUGGAAAGCAAGUAAUGGAUUGUGAACACAUUGUGUUGGCAAGGUGGCCUAGUAAGGAGACAAAACUGUAGAGCUCUCUGAUGUACACCUUCUUUCAAUCCUUUCCCUGAAGCUCUGUGACUCAAUGGCAUCAUUUGGAGAUUAAAAACAAGUCUAAAAUUGAGAUUUGUUGCCAAAUUGCUUCCCUUAAACACCUCCUCCUUU